CCGUUAAAAAGUAACAGAAACCGUUAAUUCUACCUGACGGCGUCAGAAUAUUCCGUCAAACUUUGACGGAAUAUUCUCUAUCUUCUACCUUCGAACUCUAGUAACCAUCACCGUCACUGGAAACUGAAAAAUCUUAAAAUCCUUGUAUCUCAGUCAUUUCUUACCCAAAACUCAUGAAAUUGGUCUCAAUUUAAAGCUUAUAACUAGAAGAACACAUCCUUACCAAUUUCAAGGCUUGAGAUCCAUGAAAACUCACUGGAGAAAGCUCGAUA
RNAcentral lists this long non-coding RNA (272 nucleotides) under Malus domestica (apple). RNAcentral's name for it is "long non-coding RNA (MDOM_LNC016520)". Lineage: Eukaryota; Viridiplantae; Streptophyta; Magnoliopsida; Rosales; Rosaceae. The record is from RNAcentral.